UGGCGGCGUGCCUAACACAUGCAAGUCGUACGAGAAAGUUGGCUUCGGCCGAUGAGUAAAGUGGCGCACGGGUGAGUAAUGCGUGGAUAAUCUGCCCUUUAGUUGGGAAUAACGUACCGAAAGGUGCGCUAAUACCUGAUAAUACUGCAUAACUACUGUUGUGUAGUCAAAGAAGGCCUCUGUUUACAAGCUUUUGCUGAAGGAUGAGUCCGCGUACCAUUAGCUGGUUGGUGGGGUAAUGGCCUACCAAGGCUACGAUGGUUAGCUGGUCUGAGAGGAUGAUCAGCCACACUGGAACUGAGACACGGUCCAGACUCCUACGGGAGGCAGCAGUGAGGAAUAUUGCGCAAUGGGGGCAACCCUGACGCAGCAACGCCGCGUGAGUGAGGAAGGUUUUCGGACCGUAAAGCUCUGUCGAGCGGGAAGAAAUGUAUCAUGGCUAAUAUCCAUGAUACUUGACGGUACCGCUAAAGGAAGCACCGGCUAACUCCGUG
This 494-nucleotide ribosomal RNA is filed under the name uncultured bacterium. Its description in RNAcentral is "bacterial SSU rRNA". It matches the Rfam family "Bacterial small subunit ribosomal RNA", at positions 37 to 507 of the family's 1533-position model. The record is from RNAcentral.